GACGAACGCUGGCGGCGUGCUUAACACAUGCAAGUCGAACGGUGAACCUGCUCCGGUGGGGGGUCAGUGGCGGACGGGUGAGUGACACGCGGGCAACCUGCCCUCAGCUUUGGGAUAACUAACAGAAAUUGGGGCUAAUAAUGGAUAUGACUGCUCUCCGCAUGGUCUGGUGGUGGGAAGAUUAAUCGGUUGGGGCUGGGCCUGCGGCCUCUCCGCUUGUUGGUGGGGUAGUGGCCUACGGAGGCGACGACGGGGAGCGGGCCUGGGGAGGUGACGGGCCAGACUGGGACCGAGACACGGCCCAGGCUCCUAGGGGGGGCAGUAGUGGGGAAGAUGCAGGAAUGGGGGAAAGCCUGACGCAGCGACGCCGCGUGGUGGGGGACGGCCUUCGGUUUGGAUACCUCUUUCGACAGGGACGAAGCGAAAGUGACGGUAGCGGCUAAGGAAGCGCCGGCCAACUACGUG
This 465-nucleotide ribosomal RNA is filed under the name uncultured bacterium. RNAcentral's name for it is "partial 16S ribosomal RNA". It matches the Rfam family "Bacterial small subunit ribosomal RNA", at positions 28 to 507 of the family's 1533-position model. The record is from RNAcentral.